Molecule: unclassified non-coding RNA, 646 nt
Filed under: Allium amplectens
Lineage: Eukaryota; Viridiplantae; Streptophyta; Magnoliopsida; Asparagales; Amaryllidaceae
Description: sequence contains ITS1, 5.8S rRNA gene and ITS2
Rfam family: 5.8S ribosomal RNA (bases 245-400)
Source: RNAcentral
UCGAGUCCCCCUUUUGAAGACUGAGAACGUGUAGCUUGACCCGUCUAGAACAUGCCAGGCUUGCGAACGCAACUCUGCUGUCUGGAUGGAUCUGUUUUGCCGCCCCCAGCUUGCCUUGUUCGAGACAGCUGGGAGAGCGGGAAGAAGACCCCGGCGCGGUUCGCGCCAAGGACGGAUUUUGUUGGGGCGCAUCGCCUUCUUCUCGUUGCGCGGUGCGUUCUCCCACUAGUGUGAGAAUAUGCAUGACUCUUGGCAACGGAUAUCUAGGCUCUCGCGUCGAUGAAGAACGUAGCGAAAUGCGAUACUUGGUGUGAAUUGCAGAAUCCCGUGAACCAUCGAGUCUUUGAACGCAAGUUGCGCCCGAGACCGUCAGGUCAAGGGCACGUCUGCCUGGGCGUCACGCCUCGCGUCACUCGGAGCAGCAGCCCGUCUCAAACCCGGGUUUGGUGCGUCUUGAUGUGGACAUUGACCCUCCGUGCUCUUUUACGCGCGGUGGGUCUAAGCGGUCGGCGUUGCUGGGUUUUCACGCGACGAAGUGGUGGAUAGAUUGUACGCAUGAAGCCCCCAGUCGUGCGCGUGACUCCUGGCCGUGACCUGAAAGAAGUGGAACCCGUAACGACGUCUGCAGCUUCUGCAUGGUCGUACC